This 778-nucleotide ribosomal RNA is filed under the name uncultured bacterium. Its description in RNAcentral is "bacterial SSU rRNA". It matches the Rfam family "Bacterial small subunit ribosomal RNA", at positions 28 to 807 of the family's 1533-position model. The record is from RNAcentral.
GAUGAACGCUGGCGGCGUGCUUAACACAUGCAAGACGAACGGGAAAUAUUUCAUUGAGACUUCGGUGGAUUUGAUCUAUUUCUAGUGGCGGACGGGUGAGUAACGCGUGGGUAACCUGCCUUAUACAGGGGGAUAACAGUCAGAAAUGGCUGCUAAUACCGCAUAAGCGCACAGAGCUGCAUGGCUCGGUGUGAAAAACUCCGGUGGUAUAAGAUGGACCCGCGUUGGAUUAGCUUGUUGGUGGGGUAACGGCCCACCAAGGCGACGAUCCAUAGCCGGCCUGAGAGGGUGAACGGCCACAUUGGGACUAAGACACGGCCCAGACUCCUACGGGAGGCAGCAGUGGGGAAUAUUGCACAAUGGGGGAAACCCUGAUGCAGCGACGCCGCGUGAAGGAAGAAGUAUCUCGGUAUGUAAACUUCUAUCAGCAGGGAAGAUAGUGACGGUACCUGACUAAGAAGCCCCGGCUAACUACGUGCCAGCAGCCGCGGUAAUACGUAGGGGGCAAGCGUUAUCCGGAUUUACUGGGUGUAAAGGGAGCGUAGACGGUGUGGCAAGUCUGAUGUGAAAGGCAUGGGCUCAACCUGUGGACUGCAUUGGAAACUGUCAUACUUGAGUGCCGGAGGGGUAAGCGGAAUUCCUAGUGUAGCGGUGAAAUGCGUAGAUAUUAGGAGGAACACCAGUGGCGAAGGCGGCUUACUGGACGGUAACUGACGUUGAGGCUCGAAAGCGUGGGGAGCAAACAGGAUUAGAUACCCUGGUAGUCCACGCCGUAAAC